CCCGCCAAGGCCUGUAAAUGCCCUUACACCUCCCCGGGGCGGUCAAAAUAAGUAGAUCAGCCUUCUGGCCGGACAGCUGUCUGUGCGCACCACUCCCAGAUCCCCUAGGGGCGGAUGUCCAGAGAUUUCCCAGGGGGCACCUUUCUGUAAAGUCCCACCUGAGAGGCACCACAACGUCACUGCCAUUCUUGUUUCCGGGCGCCUGGGACAAGGAAGUGAUGAGUGAUAAAGCAGAGGAGUCUGCCAUUGGGCCUGAAGACCAAAUGAAAUGUCAUGGAGAACCUAUGAGUCCUCCUCCAUCUAAGAGACAGCCGAGCACGGCACUGUCAGUGGAACAGGAAGUUGAACAGGAAGGAGAGGGAGCAUCCCACCCUGGGGACUCAGCUAUGUCCUCGGAAGAUGAUGAGCCCGUGGUCAAAGCAAUGUCUGUGUUGGGAGAUGUGCCAGAUCAACUGCCAAUACCAGUGGAAAUUAGUGCUGAAAUGAAACUUCAAUUAAAGGAGGAAAUUCGACGAUUUGGACAAAAAUAUGAAAGGGUCUUCAAAUUGCUUGAAGGAAUGGAAGGAUCUGUAGAACUGCGGGACAAAUUUUGUUUUAUUGUCCGUCAAGGAAACAGCAAGAUUGAUAUUAUCUAAGUCUCCCUCACUCUUCCAAGUUCAAGAAGACUUGUGUUCACACUGGAUUUUGAGAUUUAAAAGACAAAACUUAAUAAGGCACCUGCAGAAGGUACCAGAAAAAUUAGAACUUGAC
Lutra lutra (Eurasian river otter) is the source of this 750-nucleotide RNA transcript. It is a transcript of the gene named integrator complex subunit 6-like, with no coding region annotated. The transcript is spliced from 6 exons. The record is from RefSeq and is a predicted model, not a curated record. Lineage: Eukaryota; Metazoa; Chordata; Mammalia; Carnivora; Mustelidae.